This 793-nucleotide ribosomal RNA is filed under the name uncultured archaeon. Its description in RNAcentral is "bacterial SSU rRNA". It matches the Rfam family "Archaeal small subunit ribosomal RNA", at positions 85 to 879 of the family's 1478-position model. The record is from RNAcentral.
ACUGCUCAGUAACACGUGGACAACCUGCCCUUAGGUUGGGUAUAAACCCGGGAAACUGGGUAUAAUACCCGAUAGGUCUCGAUUGCUGGAAUGCAUCGAGAUUUAAAGCUCCGGCGCCUAAGGAUGGGUCUGCGGCCUAUCAGGUAGUAGUGGGUGUAGCGUACCUACUAGCCUACGACGGGUACGGGUUGUGAGAGCGAGAGCCCGGAGAUGGAUUCUGAGACACGAAUCCAGGCCCUACGGGGUGCAGCAGGCGCGAAAACUUUACAAUGCUGGCAACAGCGAUAAGGGAACCUCGAGUGCCAGGUUACAAAUCUGGCUGUCGAGAUGCCUAAAAAGCAUUUCAUAGCAAGGGCCGGGCAAGACCGGUGCCAGCCGCCGCGGUAACACCGGCGGCUCGAGUGGUAACCGUUAUUAUUGGGUCUAAAGGGCCUGUAGCCGGCCGGAUAAGUCUCUUGAGAAAUCUGGCAGCUUAACUGUCAGGCUUUCAGGAGAUACUGUCUGGCUCGAGGCCGGGAGAGGUGAGAGGUACUUCAGGGGUAGGGGUGAAAUCUUGUAAUCCUUGAAGGACCACCAGUGGCGAAGGCGUCUCACCAGAACGGACCUGACGGCAAGGGACGAAAGCUAGGGGCACGAACCGGAUUAGAUACCCGGGUAGUCCUAGCCGUAAACGAUACUCGCUAGGUGUCGGCCACGGUGCGACCGUUGUCGGUGCCGUAGGGAAGCCGUGAAGCGAGCCACCUGGGAAGUACGGCCGCAAGGCUGAAACUUAAAGGAAUUGGCGGGGGAGCAC